This 439-nucleotide ribosomal RNA is filed under the name uncultured bacterium. RNAcentral describes it as "partial 16S ribosomal RNA". It matches the Rfam family "Bacterial small subunit ribosomal RNA", at positions 339 to 795 of the family's 1533-position model. The record is from RNAcentral.
CUACGGGGUGCUCCAGUGGGGAAUUUUGCGCAAUGGGCGAAAGCCUGACGCAGCAAUACCGCGUGAGUGAAGAAGGCCUUUGGGUCGUAAAGCUCUUUUCUGGGGGAAGAUAGUGACGGUACCCCAGGAAUAAGCACCGGCUAACUCCGUGCCAGCAGCCGCGGUAAUACGGAGGGUGCAAGCGUUGUUCGGAUUUACUGGGCGUAAAGGGCACGUAGGCGGCACAGCAAGUUAAGGGUGAAAUCCCGGGGCUCAACUCCGGAACUGCUCUUAAAACUGCUGAGCUAGAGAUGGUCAGAGGCGGGUAGAAUUCCUGGUGUAGAGGUGAAAUUCGUAGAUAUCAGGAGGAAUACCGGUGGCGAAGGCGGCCCGCUGGGGCCAUUCUGACGCUAAGGUGCGAAAGCGUGGGGAGCGAACGGGAUUAGAUACCCCAGUAGUC